GUGGACACCGAAUGGGAACUAAAAUUUCCUAUGGUAACCGUGCGAGCCCUAGAGCAUAUCGAGGCAUUAUCGGAUCAUGCACCCAUCAUUCUGGAUUCUAACUCUAUGAACUCAGCAGCCCGUCGCCCUUUCAAAUUUGAAUUGGGAUGGCUGCAUCGGGAUGGAUUUGUAGACAUAAUCAAGAAUGUUUGGGAGAAUCCCGCCGUUGGUCGCACACCUAUUCAUAGAUGGAACUUUAAAAUAAGGGCCAUGAGGCAACACCUCGCUGGAUGGGCGAAACACACCAACGGGAUAUAUAAAAAAGAAAAACAACGGCUCUCUACCAUUAUUGACGACCUCGACAAGAUUGUAGAGACACGCACCUUAUCUCAACAAGAGAUUGAAUUAAAGAAUCAAUCUAAUGAGAAGGUCGCCCGUCUUUUGCGAGAAGAGGAGAUCAAAUACUACCAGAGAUCCAAAGCUGAUCUCAUAUUGAUGGGUGAUAGUAAUACAAGAUACUUCCAAUUGAUCGCCAAUGGGCGACAUAGGAAGAAAUGUAUUUACAGUCUCCAACAAGAUGAGGGGCUGAUCGAAGGUCAGGAGGAGCUCAAAAAGUAUAUCACCAAAUACUAUAAAUCGUUGUUCGGCGCGCCGGCUGAGGGGAACUUCACCCUUGACGAGACCCGAACAGAUGAUAUUCCACAAGUCACGGCAGAAGAAAAUGAUAUCCUAACGGCACCAUUCUCAGAAGAGAAGGUGAGAGCGGCGGUGUUCCAAAUGGAGCAUAACAAAGCUCCAGGCCCAGAUGGUUUCCCCGCAGAAUUCUAUCAGAAUUUCUGGGAUAUCAUCAAGAAUGACCUUUUGGAGUUGUUUAAUUGUCUUCAUGCUGACCGACUAGACCUAUUCAGACUUAACUUUGGCGAGAUUGUCUUGUUGCCAAAGAUUAAGGAGGCCGAACGGAUCCAACAGUUCAGACCCAUAUGCCUCCUUAAUGUUAGCUUCAAGAUCUUUACCAAAGUGAAUAUGAGUGGAGUAGUAUUUAAAAUCGACUUUGAGAAGGCCUAUGACAAGGUCAAAUGGUCUUUCCUCCAACAGGCCCUAAGAAUGAAAGGUUUCUCUGAUAAAUGGCGCCAAUGGAUCCAAAAUUUUGUAACUGGAGGUAGUGUGGCCAUCAAAGUCAAUGAUGAUUUAGGCCAUUACUUCCAGACAAAAAAAGGACUACAACAGGGUGACCCCAUGUCCCCAAUGUUAUUUAACAUUGUUGUUGACAUGUUGGCUAUUCUGAUUGAGCGUGCCAAGCAGGACGGCCAGAUUGCAGGAGUAGUGCCA
RNAcentral lists this ribosomal RNA (1308 nucleotides) under Triticum aestivum (bread wheat). RNAcentral's name for it is "partial small subunit ribosomal RNA". The record is from RNAcentral. Lineage: Eukaryota; Viridiplantae; Streptophyta; Magnoliopsida; Poales; Poaceae.